RNAcentral lists this ribosomal RNA (380 nucleotides) under uncultured Brasilonema sp. RNAcentral describes it as "bacterial SSU rRNA". It matches the Rfam family "Bacterial small subunit ribosomal RNA", at positions 376 to 770 of the family's 1533-position model. The record is from RNAcentral. Lineage: Bacteria; Bacillati; Cyanobacteriota; Cyanophyceae; Nostocales; Scytonemataceae.
CGAAAGCCUGACGGAGCAAUACCGCGUGAGGGAGGAAGGCUCUUGGGUUGUAAACCUCUUUUCUCAAGGAAUAAGAAAGUGAAGGUACUUGAGGAAUCAGCAUCGGCUAACUCCGUGCCAGCAGCCGCGGUAAUACGGAGGAUGCAAGCGUUAUCCGGAAUUAUUGGGCGUAAAGCGUCCGUAGGCGGUUUUUCAAGUCUGCUGUUAAAGCGUGCAGCUUAACUGCAUAUCGGCAGUGGAAACUGAGAGACUAGAGUGUAGUAGGGGUAGAGGGAAUUCCUGGUGUAGCGGUGAAAUGCGUAGAUAUCAGGAAGAACACCGGUGGCGAAAGCGCUCUGCUGGGCCGCAACUGACACUCAGGGACGAAAGCUAGGGGAGCG